This 621-nucleotide ribosomal RNA is filed under the name Didemnum perlucidum. Its description in RNAcentral is "12S ribosomal RNA". The record is from RNAcentral. Lineage: Eukaryota; Metazoa; Chordata; Ascidiacea; Aplousobranchia; Didemnidae.
AAUUUAAAUUACAUAUUAAAAUAUAUUAUAAAAACUGACAUCUAAAUAACUUAUAUAUAGAUAAGAAGCUAUUAUAAAUUAAACUAUGUUUGAUAUAAGAUGUUUGGCCAAAAUUAGUGCCAGCAGCUGCGGUUAUUCUAAUAAAUAUAAUUAAAAAGAAAAUAUUUAUAUUAAUUAAAAAUAAUUAUUAGGUCGAAUUUGAUUAUUUAUUAAUAAAAGCAGAUUAGAUACCUGUGUAUAUAAUUAAACAUAUAAAGGAGUAAUUAAAAAUAAUUUUAUUAGACGGAUAAGAAUUUAAUAGGGAACCUUGUAGCUUAAUAAGAUAAUACUCUGUUUAUAUAUAGUUAAAUAGGGUUGCAUAUGUUCGUAUAUUAUAAUUAUAAUAAUUAUGAUAAAUAUAUUAUUUUAAUAAAUACUUCAGAUCAACAUACACUUUUUUAACUACGUUUAUUAGGUUUAAUUUUGUUAAUAAAGUUUAAUUAAGAUUUAAUUUAAGUAAACUUAUAAGUAAUUAAUAAAUAAUUAAGUUUUAAUGAAGAUAUAUUAUAGUACUCACCGCCCGCUAAGUUUUAUAAAAAUUAAGGCGUAACAAGGUAGUUUAAUUAGAAAAUUAAACUGGAA